GCCCCUGCCCCUACCCGCCGGCGACCAGAGCCGGGCUCUCCCCGCCUGCCGCCGCCCGCGCCCCCAUGAGGCCGGAGCCGCUGCCCGCCGCCCGCUGGCGCCCGUGACGAGCUCGCCGGGAGGUCGCGCCGCCCCCGCCGCGGGCGCCCCGGCCCCACCGGACCGUUUUUAAGCCUCCGCCAGCGGGAGGGAAGUUGUCGUCCCGUCCCGUCCCGUCCCCCCCCCCCCGCCCGCCCCCCGUUGCCCCUUCCCGCCCUCGCCCUCCCUCCGGUUCCUGCACCGAGAGUGAGAAAAGCACAACCUCAGGGAGACCUGGCCCUGCGCACAGAUACCUGCUGAGCCCCGGACAAGGAAACCGGCCCCUUCCUUCGUCCUCCAGCGCUGGGGCCGUGGGCGUCGGAAGCCUUCAGACCCUCCGUGUGGCCGGCAGGCACCUGUCCCGCCUGGAGGCAGCUCUCCUAGACCAGCCAGCCCCCCUCCGCCUCAAGUACAUUUUGUGGACAUAAGCAUUUUUUUAACUUUUUAAAGAACUCGGGUUUUGGUUUUUGGGGUUUUUUUUGUUUGUUUGUUUGGUUUUUUUUUUCCUGGGAUUUUUACGAGCUUCCCCUCAGUUGAUUUCCUGCUUCUCCCACCUCAGAUAGCACUGGCUCUGUUUUUCCUGGUACUGUAGUAUGGGGAUCGAAUCAAAAUUGAGAUUUUAAGUACUGCAGGAGCCCUCAAGUCCAUCCACCUGUUAAAAGUGAGCAGUGUUGUUUCUGUCUUUAUUCUUUUCCCCCCACGUCGCCUGUCGGAUGUGAUGGAACUCAUGUUCGCAGAGUGGGAGGACGGGGAGAGGUUUUCAUUUGAAGACUCCGAUCGCUUUGAAGAAGACUCUCUUUGUUCCUUCAUCUCUGAGGCAGAGAGCCUUUGCCAGAACUGGAGAGGAUGGAGGAAGCAAUCGGCUGGACCCAAUUCUCCCACUGUCAAAAUGAAAGAUGGGCUGGUGAUCCCAUUGGUGGAACUGUCUGCAAAACAGGUUGCAUUUCACAUUCCAUUCGAGGUGGUGGAGAAAGUUUAUCCUCCAGUGCCUGAGCAACUGCAGCUUCGAAUCGCCUUCUGGAGUUUCCCAGAAAAUGAGGAAGAUAUCAGAUUGUAUUCAUGUUUGGCGAAUGGCAGUGCAGAUGAGUUCCAGCGAGGGGAGCAGCUGUUCCGGGUGAGGGCUGUCAAAGACCCUCUCCAGAUAGGUUUCCAUCUAAGUGCCACUGUGGUACCCCCACAGAUGGUGCCACCCAAAGGUGCGUACAACGUGGCGGUGAUGUUUGACCGAUGCAGGAUCACGUCAUGUAGCUGUACCUGUGGAGCUGGGGCCAAGUGGUGUGCUCACGUCGUGGCGCUCUGCCUCUUCCGGAUACACAAUGCAUCUGCGGUAUGCUUACGAGCACCUGUUUCUGAGUCCUUGUCUCGGCUACAAAGAGACCAAUUGCAAAAAUUUGCUCAGUACCUAAUCAGUGAACUUCCACAACAGAUUCUUCCAACAGCUCAGCGCUUGCUGGAUGAGCUGUUAUCUUCUCAGUCUACUGCCAUCAACACAGUGUGUGGAGCCCCAGAUCCCACUGCUGGACCCUCUGCAUCAGAUCAAAGCACCUGGUACUUAGAUGAAUCUACUCUGAGUGACAACAUAAAGAAAACCCUUCAUAAAUUCUGUGGACCCUCUCCUGUUGUUUUCAGUGAUGUGAAUUCAAUGUAUCUCUCUUCCACGGAGCCACCAGCUGCUGCUGAGUGGGCCUGUCUUCUGCGUCCCCUGCGAGGAAGAGAGCCUGAAGGAAUCUGGAACCUGCUUUCCAUUGUGCGGGAGAUGUUUAAGAGACGGGAUAGCAAUGCAGCUCCUUUGCUGGAGAUUCUGACUGACCAGUGUCUCAACUAUGAGCAGAUAACCGGCUGGUGGUACAGUGUGCGAACAUCUGCAUCACACAGCAGUGCUAGCGGGCACACAGGACGCAGCAAUGGCCAGUCAGAAGUAGCUGCUCAUGCUUGUGCAAGUAUGUGUGAUGAGAUGGUUGUUCUUUGGAGGCUGGCUGUCCUUGACCCAACUGUUAGUCCACAGAGGCGCAGGGACCUUUGCUCACAGCUCAGACAGUGGCAGCUGAAAGUCAUAGAUAAUGUUAAGAGGGGUCAGCACAAGAAAUCACUGGAGAAGCUCUUCCAGGGUUUCAAGCCAGCUGUGGAAGCCUGUUACUUCAACUGGGAGGAAGCUUAUCCCAUUCCUGGGAUCACAUAUAGCAGCACUGACAAAAAGAACUCAUUCUGUUGGGUAAAGGCCAUCCAGCAGAGGAGUUGCCGGUUGCAGUGUACAGAAACUGCCUGUGAGACUGGUAGAACCCAUGGACAGGAGCCCGGGGGACCAUGUCUGCAGCCUGGGGACAGGCUGCGUCCCUCUCCCCAAGAGCCAGCAGUUCGUCCAAAGGAACUUACUGGAAAGCGGAAAGUUGUCUCUGAAACGCCACAGAGGGUUCUGAGACGGCUUUCAGCAGAAGGUGAUAAAGCUGUGUACAAGACUGCAGCGGGCAAAGCAAAGUUGCCAGUGAGCAAAGGCUUGACCAGUAAACAUAGUGGGAAACGCCGCAUGAGCAGUGAAGACAGCUCUCUGGAGCCAGACUUGGCAGAGAUGAGCCUGGAUGACAGCAGCUUGGCUCUGGGGGCAGAAGCCAGCAACACAUUUAGUUUUACAGAAAGCCCACUGAGCAGGAGCUACAGGGACACCUUUGAGGAGGAUGGUGGGGUGUACUUCUCUGAGGGACCUGAGCCCAGUGUCAGGAGCAGUUCCAUGGCCAAGAAAUCGCCCAAGGAUCCUGUGGGGGAAAUGGGUAGUGGUGAUGAUGACCUCCCUUCUGCAGAUGAGAACAGCGGUGGUGUGAGCCUGAAGCCAGAAGAAGUGGGAGACAAUGGUGCAGCAGGGGGUGGGGAUGAUGGAGAAGACGACGAUGAUUACCAGGUAUACUAUCUGAAUCCACAAGAGGUAGCCAAGGAAGAUGAUGACAAAGCUGAAGGGGGAAAUGAAGAGGAGCAGGAUAUAUUUGCUGGUAUAAAGCCUCUGGAGCAGGAGAACCGGAUGGAGAUCCUGUUUGCCUGUGCAGAGGCCCUGUAUGCACAUGGAUACAGUAAUGAUGCAUGCCGCUUAACUGUAGAGCUUGCCAGGGACCUACUGGCCAACCCUCCAGAUCUCAAAGUGGAGCAGCCACCAACUAAGGGCAAAAAGAACAAGGUAUCAACCAGCAAGCAGACAUGGAUGGCAACCAACACCUUGUCUAAAGCUGCUUUCUUGUUGACUGUGUUGAGUGAGCGGCUGGAGUACCACAACCUGGCCUUUCGAAUAGGAAUGUUUGCUCUGGAGCUGCAGAGACCACCUGCCUCUACAAAGGCUCUGGAGGUGAAGCUGGCAUAUCAGGAGUCUGAGAUUGUAGCCCUCUUGAAGAAGAUUCCCUUGGGCACUAAUGAGAUGAACACUAUUCGAGGAAGAGCUGAGGAACUGCGAGAAGGGACACUAUGCGAUUACCGUCCUGUCCUGCCUCUGAUGUUGGCUAGCUUUAUAUUUGAUGUCCUGUGCACUCCAGUGGUUUCUCCUACAGGCUCUAGACCCCCAAGCCGUAAUUGGAAUAAUGAAAUGCCUGGAGACGAAGAGCUUGGUUUUGAGGCAGCUGUUGCUGCUCUUGGCAUGAAAACAACUGUCAGUGAAGCAGAACAUCCUCUGUUGUGUGAAGGCACCCGAAGGGAGAAAGGGGAUCUGGCACUAGCCCUGAUGAUUACUUACAAGGAUGAUCAGUCUAAGCUGAAGAAGAUUUUAGACAAACUCCUGGACAGAGAGAGUCAAACUCAUAAACCACAGACUCUGAGUUCCUUCUACUCAUCCAGCAAGCCUACAGUAGCAAACCAAAAAUCUCCUUCCAAACACGCUGCCCAGUCCACUGCAGCUAUCCAGCAGCUUCCAGGGACUUCUGUCACUCAGCAAGCUACUGUAAGCACUGCAGUCCAGAGCAGUCCUGAGAACUUUGGAGAGAAGAGUGCACAGGAGAGCUCUCAGAGGUCCCCCUGUGAGCCAGCUGCGGAGGCCACUGUCUUGAAACAAGAGGGAAAGGUCCCCAGUCGUCUGGCCCUUGGAAACCGAGGUGGAUACAAUGGGAGAUGCUGGGGUUCACCUGUCAGGCAGAAGAAGAAACACACAGGCAUGGCUAGUAUUGACAGCAGUGCUCCUGAAACCACUUCUGACAGUUCUCCAACACUCAGUCGGCGUCCGCUACGUGGGGGAUGGGCAACAACAUCGUGGGGCAGAGGACAGGACAGUGACAGCAUCAGCAGUUCUUCAAGUGAUUCGCUGGGAUCUUCCUCUUCCAGUGGCAGUAGGAGAGCCAGUGGGGGAGCCCGUGCAAAGACUGUGGAAGUUGGCAGGUAUAAAGGGAGACGGCUGGAGAGCCAUGCUCCUCACGUCCCAAACCAGCCCUCAGAGGCAGCUGCUCACUUCUACUUUGAAUUGGCCAAGACAGUCCUUAUCAAAGCAGGUGGAAACAGCAGUACCUCUAUCUUCACCCACCCUUCCUCCAGUGGUGGGCACCAGGGACCACACCGCAACCUUCAUCUCUGCGCCUUCGAGAUUGGGCUGUACGCACUAGGGCUGCACAACUUUGUGUCUCCCAACUGGCUCUCUCGAACUUACUCCUCUCAUGUCUCUUGGAUCACAGGGCAGGCCAUGGAGAUCGGUAGCGCAGCCUUGAACAUCUUGGUGGAGUGUUGGGAUGGACAUCUGACUCCCCCAGAGGUGGCAUCAUUGGCAGACAGAGCUUCACGGGCCAGAGACUCCAACAUGGUGCGGGCAGCUGCUGAACUGGCACUCAGCUGCCUGCCCCAUGCCCAUGCCCUGAACCCAAAUGAGAUCCAGAGGGCUCUGGUGCAGUGCAAGGAACAGGAUAAUCUGAUGCUGGAAAAGGCCUGUAUGGCAGUAGAAGAGGCAGCCAAAGGAGGUGGCGUGUACCCAGAAGUCCUGUUUGAAGUAGCUCACCAGUGGUACUGGCUUUACGAACAGACUGUUGGUGGGACCCCAGCCCAGAGAGAAGGUGCCACUGGCUGCAGUGCCAGUGGUGCACGGGCUGCCUCUGAAGCGGCACGUGGGUUGACAGACAACCGGGUGACCUCUGAGCCGACCACUGUAACAGUGGCAGCUGCGGUAACUGCGGCAGCAACAGUCAUGCCGGUGAUCUCUGUUGGGUCGACCAUGUACCAGCAGCAUACAAUGGCAGGGCCAGCAAUGGCACAUACGCACACGCAGGGUCUCCAUCCUUACACCACCCUUCAGACUCACAUCCCCUGUAAUCCCCAGUAUAUUGGACACACUAUCCAGCACAUGCCGCGCCCAGCUGUCUUCCCGGUCCCUGGCUCGGCGUACCCACAGGGUGUCCAUCCAGCAUUCAUAGGAGCGCAGUACCCUUAUUCAGUAACAACACCGUCAUUGGCAGCUACAGCAGUGUCAUUCCCCGGUGUGCCCGUCCCAUCCAUGACGCAGAUUGCAGUGCAUCCCUAUCACAGUGAGACAGGACUGUCACUGUCUUCCAAUGUAGCGAUAGGAAGUGUCCAUGCAGGAUCAACGUUCCCAGCGAUUCAGGGGGCUUCCUUGACAACUCUGUCCUCACAGCCCAACUCCCUUGUUACAGGGAGUUUUCCUGCCGAGGAUGAGCAGCACAGUCAGCCUGUGAGCCCCCAGGGUCUGCACUACCUCCACUCCGCAUACCGAGUUGGGAUGCUGGCUCUGGAGAUGCUUGGCCGAAGAGCUCACAACGACCAUCCCAACAACUUCUCCCGCAGCCCACCCUACACGGAGGAUGUAAAAUGGCUCCUUGGGUUAGCUGCAAAGUUAGGUGUAAACUACGUGCAUCAGUUUUGCGUUGGUGCGGCCAAGGGGGUGCUGAGCCCUUUUGUGCUCCAGGAGAUCAUCAUGGAAGCUCUACAGAGGCUCAACCCUGCCCAUGUGCACAACCACCUGCGCACCCCAGCCUUCCACCAGCUGGUGCAGAGGUGCCAACAGGCCUACAUGCAGUACAUCCAUCAUCGGCUGAUCCAUCUCACUCCAGCUGACUACGAUGACUUUGUGAAUGCCAUCCGCAGCGCCAGAAGCGCCUUCUGCCUGACUCCCAUGGGCAUGAUGCAGUUUAAUGAUGUUCUCCAGAACCUAAAACGCAGCAAGCAGACAAAGGAGCUGUGGCAAAGGGUCUCUCUGGAAAUGACCACCUUCUCGCCAUGACAGCAGUCCGAUGGAGCUGGCCAGUUGUGUGUCAGUGGGAGCUCCUGCGAGCCUUGGUAAAUAGCUGUCCUGGUUUGGGGAACAGCAGUCCAGCACAAGGGAGGUGGCCAGAGGUUUUACACAAGCUGUGAGCCAAUGGUUUCUUGUAUGGUACUGCUAUGAGAAUGACAUGCCUCUGCAGAGGCUGAGCCCUCAUACAGAUUGCACUGCUUCCAUAUGACAGACCCUGUCAGAGUUGUCUUCCAGCAGCUGCAGAGCCCAAACAGAGGAAGAGCCAGGGAAUCUCACCUCAGGCUGACAUUGACUGAACAAGCAGCUCGGUGGUAUGAGGCACAGGUCGGUUGUUUCAGAAGUUUCUAGUCUUUUCUCUGAAGAAGUUCCUCAGAGUGAGCAGACAGAGAUGGGAGCUGUGUGGAGGUGCUAUACCCUCAUUUAUUCAGGUCUUCCAGAACACACUUUCAGUCUUGGAUCUCUGCAUCUGUGUAUCUGUUGUCAUUCCUGAGCCAUAUCCCAUGGAAAUAUAUGUGAGCCAGGACAGGAGAAAGUAGAAAGUGAGAAAGGAGAUGGUGAUGUUUUUUCUCGCCAUGUGGCUGGGAGGUUCUUGAGGUAUUUUUCUUUUAUGAGAGAUGAGAUGAGCCCUGGUGGCCCCAGAAGCAUUAAUCUACUAUUAAGGCAGAAAAAUUAUUACCCAGUGCAGUCUUGUUAGUUUGGUCACUGUUCCAGGAAUGGGGAAAAUACUGAGGCUCAGAAGUUCUGAAAAGACAUUUCAGAAGAUGACCUGUAAGAGAGCAGAGGUUGCAGCCAACUCAAAUUUCCUUUGACUUCAGUUAAUCCAUGUGUUUUUUCACUCAGAGUAAAUGUUCUCUAGGUCCUCACACUUACCAGCAACACGUGAAGUAGCUGCAGUGAAGGCCAGCUGCCACAGCAGCUGGAUGCUUUAGAGCUCUUCUAGAAAUGGUUUUACAUAGCUGAGAAGCUGUUCUCUGUGUUGGCUACCACCUCUUCCCAGGCUGGGCAGCAAAUGCUGAAUUUAGUCAGUACUAAUAGCUACAGGUAUUUGUCUGGAUAGGGCCUGGCCCCCACUUGCAUGAAGACAGAUGAUAUUCUGUGAUGGGUUAUUGCAAUGGGUUAUUGUCACGUUUGGUGAAGUCUAAUUCACUGUCUGUUCCUUGAAGGUAAGAUGAAUGAGGUCUUCAGACUACUUCCUGUGUUCUCUGUUCAUAAUGACUUGCUUUCACUUGCCAGAUUUGUUUCCUCUUGUGACCACAGGAAUUAUACUUUCCCUUUUAGCUUUUAGUGUCUCUGGAAAUAACAGCUCACUUCAGUAGGGAGUUGGAGAAGUCAAAUUUGUAUGGGUGCAGGUGAAACCAGCUGAGAAAUGGCUGAUGUCUUUACUGCAAGAUACCUGUAGGGCGGUUUUCACUGUCCUGCUAGUGUUGAAGAUCAAACUGCUUAAUAGUCCUAAUUAGGGCAGUGCGCUAAGAGCAGCCUUGUACUCUGAGUUAACCCACUGUCUGCACUUGAAGUUUCAUGGGUACUUGAGCUAAACAAUCUGGCAUGGUGCACAGAUGUGCAUUUUGAUGCUUUGUCCAAGAAUCAGUACACGCAGAUAAAAGCAGAUGGUGUUCCAGUGUUAGGAUACUUACAAGCAGCUCCUUAAAGAUGGAAAUUCCUUCUGUGUCUCAUUUUAUAUAUAUAUAUCUACACAGUGGGGGCCAUAUAUAAAAAAAUGUCAGGGAGAGGGUGUGAGAAGAUACAGAUGAGGUACUGUAAGUGAAAGGGCCUUCCCCCCCCCCUUCCCUGAGGACAUUAGUGGGUGGCCACGUAGUGUCUUUACCCUUGUCUUUACCCUUUACCCUUGUCUUUGUAUGCACUCUUACCCUGUAUCUGAGACAGCAGUGUUUCUAGAACUUAACCUGUUGAUCCCUGCAGAGUUUCUGAGUGUUCAGGGGUAAAAUCUUGGCAUUAGUGUAGUUGGUAGAAGACAUGCCAACAUUGCAUCUGGACUUUUGGCUGUUUGGCUCGUUGGAAGGAAUAGUGUGACUUUUGCUCUUACAGAAUGGAUAAAAUAAAGGUUUUAGUCAUUGCAAGCCUUAUUCCUUGGAAGACAUCUCGUGCUGCAGGUACCCUUUUUCUGUGUAGAUCAGGCAUGCCAACCUCUGAGAGGGCCGAUUCCCCUCCUUCCUCUCUGGACAUCCUCACCUACAACUAUCUUUCUUGCCUGUGGAAGUUUUCCUUUGGAAGCACUUUCCAGGAAUAUGAGUUAGCAGAACAGUAUUUGCCUUUGGACUUCAGUGUCUUUACAGCCCAUGAACAAAUUGAGUUGGAGUUGUCAUCUGAUGAAGCAACGUGCCUAGCAACAGGUACAGCUGCAGUUAGCUGAAAAGUGUGUUUCUGUCUAGUUUUCUUUACUGUCAUUAAUAUUUAUUUGGGAUAUGUAUUUUUCAUUCAGAAGUAGCCUCCUGGGGAGUUGUUGAACCUGAACUGUUUAAUUCUUUGCGUGGGUUUGGAUUUUAUCAAGCCUAGCACUGUUGUAUUUUGGAGCAGAAUACAGGCUUUUACGUUCCCAGCUUAUUUAGCACUAGCUCGGCUAUGGCUACACAGUGCUAGAGUGCACUGGACAGCCUUGCAAACCCCAGAGUCAAUGGAAAUGGAGUAAGCGUUGAAGUAUCUAUAAAGUUUAUCACCACCUCCUGCUAUAAAUCAGUCAGCUGUAACAGGACAUCAAUUUGAAAUUGUUUUAUGUAGGAGUUGGCAAGUUGUAUUUUUCUUACCUAGGCAUUAAGAGAAAGGCAGGGUAUUAAAAUGAAUUUUCCAGGAUGCAUCUGGGGGGAAGCGUGCCGAAACAGAAGUGUGCUUACAGUCUGCUACUGAUGCCUUUCCUUUUUUCAGCUUAGUUUAAAAAAAAAAAAAAAAAAAAAAGCA
Harpia harpyja (harpy eagle) is the source of this 9190-nucleotide RNA transcript. It is a transcript of the gene named zinc finger SWIM-type containing 8, with no coding region annotated. The transcript is spliced from 28 exons. The record is from RefSeq and is a predicted model, not a curated record. NCBI's taxonomy places the organism in Eukaryota, Metazoa, Chordata, Aves, Accipitriformes, Accipitridae.